CAAGCAACCACAGCCGCAUCGCUAAUUUAGUGAGAGAUUUUAGAAGCAAUACCACCAUAAGAAACAGUAAGCUUCCACGUUAAACUCACCAGUGCUUACUCUUUGCCUCCAUGACUGGGCUGCCUUGAGAGUGAACAAUCUCAAGAAACCAAAGGUGAGGAGAGGCAUAAUUACUUAUUAAAUCCUACACCGAAACUAAAUAAUGUAAUCUGCCUACCAAAAGUAGGCCUAAUCACAAGGAAGCACUCGGCAGUAAGCACUAACAAGGUCUUAGUAUAUAAUAGUAAAACAGGAGCUAGCAAAGGCAAAACUUACCCUCCGUCAAGUGUUCGCCUUCUUAUCCGGCGAAGUAGAAGACUGCGGAGAAGAACCAGCCGCCGCCGCAGGAGCAUCAUGGGAGCAGCAUCCACCUGGGCCGUGGUGGUGAUGGUGGUGGUGGUGCUUCUUAGGCUGCGGCUGCCGCAGAGGCUUGCGCAUAUCGAACGCGUCCUCCCCAUCGGCGUAGUACUUAGCCUCGAUGUCGUGGAUCUGGUACCCGAGGGUUGAGGUGUAGAGGUUGAAGGCGGCGCGGUUGGAUCGGCGGACGUGGAGGGAUACGUACUCGGCGCCGAAGACCUGGUCCAUGGCGGCCUGCGCGGCGGACAUGAGCUUGGUGGCGAGCCCCAGCUUGCGGUGGGAGCGGAGGACGGCGAGGGAGGUGAUGUGGCCGUGGCAGGGCUCCGAGGGGUCCUCCUCCAUCUUGGCGAGCACGUAUCCGACGAUGCGGCCGCCAUAGUCCUCGGCAACGAAGAGGAGCUGCGGCCACGAGAGCAUGUGGUAGAGGUAGUACUUCAUCUGGUAGUUCUCCGGCAGGCACAUCAGGUUGCACGCCUGCAUCGCGAGCAGGUCGUCGAUGGUCGCCUGC
This 904-nucleotide long non-coding RNA is filed under the name Setaria viridis. RNAcentral describes it as "long non-coding RNA (SVIR_LNC008484)". The record is from RNAcentral. Lineage: Eukaryota; Viridiplantae; Streptophyta; Magnoliopsida; Poales; Poaceae.